GGUUGAUCCUGCCAGUAGUCAUAUGCUUGUCUCAAAGACUAAGCCAUGCAUGUCUAAGUAUAAAAGUAUUCUAUACUUGAAACUGCGGAAAGCUCAUUAAAUCAGUUAUAGUUUAUUUGAUGGUACCUUACUACAUGGAUACCCGUAGUAAUUCUAGAGCUAAUACAUGCGUAAAGGCCCGACUCGUGAGGGGAGGGCUGUAUUUAUUAGAUAAAAAACCAAUGCACCCGCAAGGGUGCUUUUGUGGUGAAUCAUAAUAACUGUUCGAAUCGCAUGACCUCGCGUCGGCGAU
This 292-nucleotide ribosomal RNA is filed under the name uncultured eukaryote. RNAcentral's name for it is "partial 18S ribosomal RNA". It matches the Rfam family "Eukaryotic small subunit ribosomal RNA", at positions 6 to 291 of the family's 1831-position model. The record is from RNAcentral.